CAGGAUUAGAUACCCUGGUAGUCCACGCUGUAAACGAUGUCGAUUUGGAGGUUGUGCCCUUGAGGCGUGGCUUCCGGAGCUAACGCGUUAAAUCGACCGCCUGGGGAGUACGGCCGCAAGGUUAAAACUCAAAUGAAUUGACGGGGGCCCGCACAAGCGGUGGAGCAUGUGGUUUAAUUCGAUGCAACGCGAAGAACCUUACCUGGUCUUGACAUCCACAGAACUUUCCAGAGAUGGAUUGGUGCCUUCGGGAACUGUGAGACAGGUGCUGCAUGGCUGUCGUCAGCUCGUGUUGUGAAAUGUUGGGUUAAGUCCCGCAACGAGCGCAACCCUUAUCCUUUGUUGCCAGCGGUUAGGCCGGGAACUCAAAGGAGACUGCCAGUGAUAAACUGGAGGAAGGUGGGGAUGACGUCAAGUCAUCAUGGCCCUUACGACCAGGGCUACACACGUGCUACAAUGGCAUAUACAAAGAGAAGCGACCUCGCGAGAGCAAGCGGACCUCAUAAAGUAUGUCGUAGUCCGGAUUGGAGUCUGCAACUCGACUCCAUGAAGUCGGAAUCGCUAGUAAUCGUAGAUCAGAAUGCUACGGUGAAUACGUUCCCGGGCCUUG
This 610-nucleotide ribosomal RNA is filed under the name Klebsiella pneumoniae. Its description in RNAcentral is "bacterial SSU rRNA". It matches the Rfam family "Bacterial small subunit ribosomal RNA", at positions 773 to 1383 of the family's 1533-position model. Lineage: Bacteria; Pseudomonadati; Pseudomonadota; Gammaproteobacteria; Enterobacterales; Enterobacteriaceae. The record is from RNAcentral.